RNAcentral lists this transfer RNA (68 nucleotides) under Marmota monax (woodchuck). RNAcentral describes it as "tRNA.Ala". The record is from RNAcentral. Lineage: Eukaryota; Metazoa; Chordata; Mammalia; Rodentia; Sciuridae.
GGCUUGUGGCUUACUGGUAAAGUGCUCACCUAGCAUGUGUGGGGCCAUGGGUUCGAUCCUCAGCACCA